AGAGUUUGAUCCUGGCUCAGAAUCAACGCUGGCGGCGUGCCUAACACAUGCAAGUCGCACGAGAAAGGGGCUUCGGCUCUGAGUAAAGUGGCGCACGGGUGAGUAACACGUGAAUGAUCUACCUCCGAGUGGGGAAUAACUGAGAGAAAUCUUAGCUAAUACCGCAUAACACUUACGAGUCAAAGCAGCAAUGCGCUUGGAGAGGAGUUCGCGGCCGAUUAGUUAGUUGGCGGGGUAAUGGCCCACCAAGACGAUGAUCGGUAUCCGGCCUGAGAGGGCGCACGGACACACUGGAACUGAAACACGGUCCAGACUCCUACGGGAGGCAGCAGUGGGGAAUUUUGCGCAAUGGGGGAAACCCUGACGCAGCAACGCCGCGUGGAGGAUGAAAUCCCUUGGGAUGUAAACUCCUUUCGAUAGGGAAGAUAAUGACGGUACCUAUAGAAGAAGCCCCGGCUAACUUCGUGCCAGCAGCCGCGGUAAUACGAGGGGGGCAAGCGUUGUUCGGAAUUAUUGGGCGUAAAGGGCGCGUAGGCGGUUUGACAAGUCUGAUGUGAAAUCUCUGGGCUCAACCCAGAGUCUGCAUUAGAAACUGUCGGGCUUGAGUAUGGGAGAGGUGAGUGGAAUUUCCGGUGUAGCGGUGAAAUGCGUAGAUAUCGGAAGGAACACCUGUGGCGAAAGCGGCUCACUGGACCAUAACUGACGCUGAGGCGCGAAAGCUAGGGGAGCAAACAGGAUUAGAUACCCUAGUAGUCC
Molecule: ribosomal RNA, 756 nt
Filed under: uncultured bacterium
Lineage: Bacteria
Description: bacterial SSU rRNA
Rfam family: Bacterial small subunit ribosomal RNA
Source: RNAcentral